Molecule: transfer RNA, 71 nt
Filed under: Loxodonta africana (African savanna elephant)
Lineage: Eukaryota; Metazoa; Chordata; Mammalia; Proboscidea; Elephantidae
Rfam family: tRNA
About the family: Transfer RNA (tRNA) molecules are approximately 80 nucleotides in length. Their secondary structure includes four short double-helical elements and three loops (D, anti-codon, and T loops). Further hydrogen bonds mediate the characteristic L-shaped molecular structure. tRNAs have two regions of fundamental functional importance: the anti-codon, which is responsible for specific mRNA codon recognition, and the 3' end, to which the tRNAs corresponding amino acid is attached (by aminoacyl-tRNA synthetases). tRNAs cope with the degeneracy of the genetic code in two manners: having more than one tRNA (with a specific anti-codon) for a particular amino acid; and 'wobble' base-pairing, i.e. permitting non-standard base-pairing at the 3rd anti-codon position.
Source: Rfam by way of RNAcentral
GCAAUGGUGGUUCAAUGGUAGAAUUCCCACCUUCCAAGUGGGAGACCUGGGUUCGAUUCCCAGAUGGUGCA